RNAcentral lists this small nuclear RNA (22 nucleotides) under Arabidopsis thaliana (thale cress). Its description in RNAcentral is "snRNA_00510". Lineage: Eukaryota; Viridiplantae; Streptophyta; Magnoliopsida; Brassicales; Brassicaceae. The record is from RNAcentral.
CCGACGUCAUUUAUCUGAUUUA